GCAAGAGGAAGUCUACCAAAAGGUAUUUGCUAUGACUUGGACGAAGUGUAUUUGCCAUAGGGCCAAAUUUAUGGGAGUUCUAUUCUGGGAUUUGGCUGGGUACAAGGGAAGUAUUGGUUUGGAAAUAACUGUGGUUAGCUAGGAAUGAUUGUAUUCAUUCUGACAACAAGAAAUAUGGAAUUACAGAAAGCUUCAUCUUUUAAGUUCAAUAAUUUAUUCAUUUGGCUAUUAAUUUGGUUAGAAUAACAAAAUCUUAUGAUUCUUUUUCCUCUAAAAAUUUUAUUCUGUAUCUGAUUCCUUUUGAGCAUAUUCUUUUUAUGUAGCUCAGUUCAGUCAAUACU
RNAcentral lists this unclassified non-coding RNA (341 nucleotides) under Hevea brasiliensis (rubber tree). Lineage: Eukaryota; Viridiplantae; Streptophyta; Magnoliopsida; Malpighiales; Euphorbiaceae. The record is from RNAcentral.